UCCUGGCCCUAAACGAUGUCCACUAGGUCGAAGGUUCUCUGACGGAGCUUCGGCCGAAACAAAAGCGUUAAGUGCCCCGCCUGGGGAGUACGGCCGCAAGGUUGAAACUCAAAGGAAUUGACGGGGGCCCGCACAAGCGGUGGAGCAUGUGGUUUAAUUCGAUGCAACGCGAAGAACCUUACCGGGGCUUGACAUGCUAGAAGUAGGAACCCGAAAGGGGG
This 221-nucleotide ribosomal RNA is filed under the name uncultured bacterium. Its description in RNAcentral is "partial 16S ribosomal RNA". It matches the Rfam family "Bacterial small subunit ribosomal RNA", at positions 794 to 1011 of the family's 1533-position model. The record is from RNAcentral.